Molecule: transfer RNA, 98 nt
Filed under: Coemansia sp. RSA 552
Lineage: Eukaryota; Fungi; Kickxellomycota; Kickxellomycetes; Kickxellales; Kickxellaceae
Description: tRNA-Ile
Rfam family: tRNA
About the family: Transfer RNA (tRNA) molecules are approximately 80 nucleotides in length. Their secondary structure includes four short double-helical elements and three loops (D, anti-codon, and T loops).
Source: RNAcentral
GCUCCAUUAGCUCAGCUGGUUAGAGCGCCGUGCUUAUAGUGCAAACACGCUAUGCAAGAGUCACGCGGAUGUCGGCAGUUCGAUCCUGCCAUGGAGCA